This is a non-coding RNA of Misgurnus anguillicaudatus (oriental weatherfish), 1128 nucleotides long. NCBI's taxonomy places the organism in Eukaryota, Metazoa, Chordata, Actinopteri, Cypriniformes, Cobitidae. The record is from RefSeq and is a predicted model, not a curated record.
AACUUUUUUGAGACCUGUAGCAGGCAUUACAUUUUAAAUGAGCUAAUUAAGUGGAUAAAAGUGUAAAAUUUCUCAGUUUAAACAUUUGCUAUGUUAUCUAUGUUAUCUAUUGUGAAUAAAAUAUUGGCUCAUGUGAUUUGAAAUUCCUUUAGUUUUCAUUUUAUUCAAAUUUAAAAAACGUCCCAAUUUGUCUCUGUUCACAUUAGUUAAUGCACAAUGAACAUUAUCAAAUAUUAUUAAUGUUUUAAAACCUAUUGUUUAUUGUUAGCUAAGGCAUUAACAAAUGUUAAGGAAUAAACCCUUAUAGUAAAGUGUUACUAAAUUUUCUUUCACCAUUUCCUUCACAAUGUCUACUUAUUUCUAUGGCUAACAGAUUUUGUUACAUUAGUCUUUUUUACAGUCUUACCAUUGCUUGUAAGCUGGAUUGGGUAAGAUGGAUCCUCUUUAAAGGAACCAGGCAAGUACAGGAUGUACAGUUACAAGUUACAAGUCAUGUAUUUUUUCUACUGCAAUAUUAAAUGCUUUCACGUCACAUGUAAAAGUACACAGUAAUGUGGCUCAUCACUUUUUAUUUGUAGUUUACCUGAGUGUCCUUGCACUUUUCAGGAAUUAGGGCAGAUGUGGAGGCACAACGGGUGAUACCAGACACACCCAAGCGCAUUAUGUUUGGACAUUUAAUCAUGGCAGGAUCCAUGUGGAUGCUGUCCAUUGAGGAAAGAGUUUGUUCAGAGGUUUCUGGACAGAAUUAAUCCCAAAGAUGGGGAAAAGUGGACAUCCAGACAGGGAGCAAGCAAAAAGACAAGGAACUUGGUGCAGGGAAAAGCUGUGGCCAUUAACCCCCAUGUGAACAGCUUCAUGCAGUCCCUGAUAAGAGUUUGAAUGGACGACUUCAAACUAAAGGCCAGUGUGGUCUGUCUGCCACAGUUUAAUGCAUUUAUUUUUAGUGUUGAAUGAAAUUCAAAUAGAAUAUUUAAAACUCUGGGACAGUGUUCUUUUUACCACAGUUAAAUGUUACCUUUUAGUCGAUGAUGGACUUUAAACUGAAAACUUCAAACUAUGGACCAGUGUUCUAUUUGCCAUAGUUAAAUAUGUCACAGUCUCCAAACUUGUUUAUACUUGUUGAUUUUA